GAAGGGACAGGGGCCCCGCGGGCAGGACAAGGCGGGCGGCUCUCCCUCUGGGGACAGCGCCCGGGACCAGGAAGACUUGUCUGCUGCUCGAGCUGAGCCCGCGAGGGCUGUAAUUAAUUGAGACAGGACAAGAUGCUUUAAAAAUUUUAUGAUCGAUUUGCAUAAUGGAUCUUUGUUUUAAAAAAAGGAAAGAACAAAACGCAAGCUCUCAGGCAUCCUGGCGAAGCUCCCCCUGCAGACGCGACCUGCCGGAAGCCGGCAUUUCUGACCACAGAGCUUUUCCACGAAAAAUCAGGUUUAUUGCCUUUUCUCGUCUGAUUAUAUAUAUAAAACAACAACAACGCGGGCUCACUGGAUGAGGUUUGGGGAAUGCGGAAAGGGACAGCGACGCUUUAAUAUCUUGCCACGGGAAGGAUCUGGCAGUGAUGGAUGGUGUGUUUUCUGUUCUUACCUCGGAAGUGGUCCCCUGAUAGCCUCUCCUGUAGCAGCACAAGCUUCCGUGCACUUCAUAAAUUCUCUGGCAGCCCAGCCGACGGCCCCGUGUACUUUUAUUACUGGAGGCUAAUUGCCCCGUCUCCGUCUGCUCCUGGGAUGGAGAAGGCUUCUGCGGGCGGGGGGAGGGAGGGUGGCGCUCUGGGGGAGGAAGCCUCUCGGUUCCGGCAUGGCAAUGGGGAAGAGUACGGAAACCAGGCCGAGGCAUCAGGGCGGGUGUCUGACGCGCGCUCCCUGCUCGCUCAGCAAAAGGCGAAGCAGCCACAUGCCUCUGUCCCUUAACCUUGGGGGCAACUUGCCAAGGAGGUGGUGUCAUUGAACCAUUUUCCAGACGAGGAAGCUGAGGGAGAGGUGGCUUGCCCGAGGUCACACAGCUAGUGGGAGCCAGAGCAGAGGCUCAACCCAGGCCACCUGAGCUGCAGUGCCGCUGAAGCCAGGAAAUCGUACGUGCAGAAGAAGGCGCGUAGGCUGCAGCGGGCAGGUUUUUAAGAUGGCUGCCAGGGGUACACCCUUCCAGGUCUCCUCCCUUCAAGUGGGCGGGACUCAGAGUAUGAUGAGACGUCACUCCGUGGAUAGGUUACAUGCGACGGCAAGGUGAAGUGACCCGGCAGAUGUGACCGAAGUCUCUACUUGGCGGCCUUUAAGUUCGUUAAAAGGGAGAUGGUUCUGGGUGGGCCUGACCUAAUCAGGUGAGCGCUUUAGCUGAAAAGCCUAGAGGUCAGAGAAGAAAAAAGUCAGAGAGAUUUGAAGCAGCAGAGACUCCUCUGUUGACCUUGAGAAAAUAAGCUGCCAUAUUGUGGAGGCGGGGGGAAUCACAUGGAAAGGAAGAGCAGGUGACCCCUAGGCGUUGAGGGUCUCAAUCCCACAACUGCAAGGAGCUGAAUUCGUACGACAACCAGUGCAUUGGGAAGAGGGACCCUGAGUCUAUGAUGCGAGAGCUAUUGUGUGAGGUCAUAAAGAGCAUGUGGUCACCAGUUGACCUUCAGGCUGGUCAGCCAAUGGACACUCAUCACUCCCUCCCCCGUCCUUGGAUGGUACAUUCUGCUUGCCUCCCCCAUUCCCAGAGGCUGCCCCAAAGAUACAGCCUUGAGAUAGCUUGUGUUGACAGCCUGUGGCUGGUAUGUGUGAUUGAACCCAGUUAAGGCCUCUAUAUAAAGCUUUGAGAUUUGGUGGGGGAGUGGGGAGAUCCGCUCAUCUCGGGGUGCCCCCUUGCUUAUUGGAACUGCCACCCACCAAUCUGGGGUGGUAUCCUUCUUUCUUCACCCUCUCCGUGCCCUUCAAGUGUGGGGGCCAGAUUCAGAUGGCAUCCGAGGAGCUCCCAGCCCUGGCUGCCACCUUGAUUUCAGCCUAGUGAGACCCUGAGCAGGGGACCCAGCUAACCUGGACCUUGGCUCUCGACCUUUGGAAACUGCAAGUCACAGCUUCAAAGCCCCUCCAUGUGCUCGUCAAGACCCAGUCUCACCAGGCAGCAGAAAGGACUCUUAAGGACUCCAGGAUGCUGUGCUCUAAGCUGGAGGCAGAGUCCUGCUGUCACAAAUGACAGCAUGAGUGGCCCGUCCUGACUGACGUGUGGCCCCACCGAAUCCCCCACACAGCCCGUGAGACAAGUGGGUGUUUCCCUUACUUCACAGAUGAAGGAAAUGAACCUCACGAGGUUGUGGUCUCAUGGCUUCGUGGGUUUGAGCCCCAAGUCGGGCUCUG
Herpailurus yagouaroundi (jaguarundi) is the source of this 2193-nucleotide long non-coding RNA. RefSeq lists it as uncharacterized. NCBI's taxonomy places the organism in Eukaryota, Metazoa, Chordata, Mammalia, Carnivora, Felidae. The record is from RefSeq and is a predicted model, not a curated record. The transcript is spliced from 4 exons.